GUGAUUAAGUUAUUAAGGGCGCACGGUGGAUGCCUUAGCACUAGAAGCCGAUGAAUGACGUUACUAACGACGAUAUGCUUUGGGUAGCUGUAAGUAAG
RNAcentral lists this ribosomal RNA (98 nucleotides) under Staphylococcus simulans. RNAcentral's name for it is "partial 23S ribosomal RNA". It matches the Rfam family "Bacterial large subunit ribosomal RNA", at positions 1 to 96 of the family's 2925-position model. The record is from RNAcentral. Lineage: Bacteria; Bacillati; Bacillota; Bacilli; Caryophanales; Staphylococcaceae.